CGUAGGUGGCAAGCGUUGUCCGGAAUUAUUGGGCGUAAAGCGCGCGCAGGCGGGAAUGUAAGUCUGUCUUAAAAGUGCGGUGCUCAACGCCGUGAUGGGACAGAAACUAUAUUUCUUGAGUGCAGGAGAGGACAGUGGAAUUCCCAGUGUAGCGGUGAAAUGCGUAGAUAUUGGGAGGAACACCAGUGGCGAAGGCGACUGUCUGGACUGUGUCUGACGCUGAGGCGCGAAAGCCAGGGUAGUGAACGGGAUUAGAUACCCCGGUAAUCCUGGCCGUAAACGAUGGGUACUAGGUGUUGGGGUAUCGACCCCUCCAGUGCCGGAGUUAACGCAAUAAGUACCCCGCCUGGGGAGUACGGCCGCAAGGUUG
Molecule: ribosomal RNA, 370 nt
Filed under: uncultured organism
Description: bacterial SSU rRNA
Rfam family: Bacterial small subunit ribosomal RNA
Source: RNAcentral